AUGGAGGGUUGGUUAACCUUAUGUUUCAUAGCCGUAUCGACGUUAGUGGCCGUUUGGUUUUCCGGUGGCAAGAGCAAGCCCAAGAAGCAUCUGCCUCCUGGGCCAUGGACUCUCCCGGUCAUCGGCAGCCUCCACCACGUCCUCAGUGUCCUCCCACACCGCACCAUCACGGAGCUGUGUCGCCGGCAUGGGCCACUGAUGCUCCUCAAGCUAGGUGAGGUUCCAACCGUGGUAGUCUCGAGCGCCGAGGCGGUGGAGCAGGUGAUGAAGACCAAUGACAUCGCCUUCUCGUACCGGCGGACCACCGAGUUGCAGGACAUCGUCGGCUUCGGCGGCAAGGGCAUCAUCUUCGCCCCCUACGACAACCGCUGGCGCCAGAUGCGCAAGGUCUGCAUCAUGGAGCUCCUCAAUUCCAAGCAGGUGAAGCGCAUGGAAGACAUCAGGGCCGAGGAGGUGGGCCGCCUCCUCCGCUCAAUCAUCACGGCCACAGCUGUGGGCGCUACCGUCAACAUCAGCCAGAAGGCUGCGGCGCUCAGCAAUGCCGUGGUGACGCGGGCGGUGUUCGGCGGCAAGUUCGCACGGCAGGAGGAGUACCUUCGCGAGAUCAACCAACUCCUAGAGCUGUUGGGAGGAUUCUGCCUUGUCGACCUCUUCCCGUCGUCGCGGCUGGUGCGGUGGUUCAGCACUUGCGAGCGCCGCACAAAGAAGAGCUGCGACCUCAUCCAGCACAUCAUCACCGGGGUGCUUGACGAGCGCAAGGUGGUGCGAGCUGCCGGUGACGGCGCCUGCAGCACCGACGAUGAGGACCUACUGGACGUGCUGCUCAGGCUGCAGGAAGAGGACUCGUUGGCAUACCCUCUAACGACAGAGAAUAUAACUACCGUCUUGUUUGACAUCUUUGCAGCUGGCACGGAUACUACAGGAACCGCUUUGGAGUGGGCUAUGUCAGAACUCAUAUGUCAUCCUGAAGCUAUGGCUAAGGCACAAUUAGAGGUUCGAGAGGUACUGGGUCAUGGCCGAGCUAUCAUUGGCAAUAGCGAUCUUGCAAAACUCCACUACUUGCGGAUGGUCAUCAAGGAGGUUCUUAGAUUGCAUCCACCUGGUGCUCUACUUCCCCGCAAGACUAGAGAGGACUGCAAAAUUAUGGGUUAUGACAUGCUUAAAGAUACAAAUAUAUACAUUAAUGUCUUCGCAAUUUCCCGAGAUCCUCGAUAUUGGAACAAUCCUGAAGAGUUUAAUCCAGGAAGGUUUGAGAACAAUAACGUGGAUUAUAAUGGGAAUUCUUUUGAAUUCACUCCUUUCGGAGGUGGGCGACGGCAAUGCCCUGGGAUAGCAUUCGCCACGUCACUUUUGGAGAUCACUUUAGCAAACUUUUUAUAUCACUUCAACUGGAUGCUUCCUGGCGAAGCCAGCUCAGCGUCACUGGAUAUGUCUGAGAAAUUUGGGUUCACCAUAGGUAGAACAUCUAAUCUGCACCUCAAGGCUAUUCCAUAUGUACGCUCCACUAUAUAG
This 1512-nucleotide ribosomal RNA is filed under the name Triticum aestivum (bread wheat). RNAcentral describes it as "partial small subunit ribosomal RNA". The record is from RNAcentral. Lineage: Eukaryota; Viridiplantae; Streptophyta; Magnoliopsida; Poales; Poaceae.